This is a long non-coding RNA of Mauremys mutica (yellowpond turtle), 1216 nucleotides long. RefSeq lists it as uncharacterized. The record is from RefSeq and is a predicted model, not a curated record. The transcript is spliced from 3 exons. Lineage: Eukaryota; Metazoa; Chordata; Testudines; Geoemydidae.
UUCUGCGGCUUUUCUCAGAUGCAAAUGGAUAUAUUCAGUUCCACUACUGCUUAAGUAGCAUAGGGACUUACUACUGUAAGUCUACUCAAAUGAAAUCUGCUACUUCUUCCCAUUGCCCAGUGACUGGGGCACUUUCCUGCAAAGUUCAAAUCCUUUCUCUGCAUCAGGCAAAAGGGAAAAUUGAAUGCAGGUCUCUAAUAUGCUAGGAUUCAAGUGCCUAAAUGUAUCUGCUCCUGGGACUGGCUUUCUGAAGAGGUCAGGCACCCAGCCUGCCUCUGACAGGCUCUGCUAAAGAGACUAAGCCAACCCAUAUCCACCUGUGUGGAAGGUUAAUUGGAUAAGUAGCUGAGAGAGAUUGAGAGAAUCUAAACAGAAAGAGAAGAGAAGGUAAAGCUCUCCAACCAGGGGCAGACCUUGAGUAAGCAAGGGAAAGACUGCAGUGCUUUCCAGGCAGCUGAGAAGUCUGAGGCCUUACAGCAGAAGGAGCUGCUGUUGGAAAUCAGAGACUGUUAUUUUGGGACUUUUAAGUUUUGCCCGAGCUCUGAGGCUGUUAAAGUGACCUGAUUCUUACCGCACCAAGGGAGAAACCGAGGCAAGCCACAACAGAGCCACGCUCAACCACCAGGAAGUGCUCAGGAGGUGAUAGUGACCUUUUCAACUGUCAGACCGAGAAUAUAGACUAAAUGGCUAUCCUUAUCCUGCAGUUAGGGCAAUCAUUACUCAUGCUGCCUUUAGCAAAACUAAACAGCUAAAAUAUAAAAUCUGGGGAACUCUUUCUAUAAGCAUCCAUUUAAUGUGUUGUGUAUUUGCUGGAUUAACUCAACUUCACUAAGAAAUAGCUUGAUUAUUGGAUUCUGUCAGCUGUAGAUAAAGAACAUAUUUAUCUUCUAGGAUAGGAAGCAGGUAUUUUAAGGCUACAGCAUUCAUAACAAAAGGGGCCACCUUUAUGGCUUUGGAAAUCUGAUUACAUGAGCUUAAAUGGGAAAGCUUGGCUAGCUUAAGAGGGAUUUAGUCAGCUGUUGUAUUAAAAACUUCAUGCUAACUCUUUCCAACACAGAAUUGCUAGUGAUAAGUCAACUAGUGAAUACUGCAUAUAUUCCUGAUUUUCCAGCACCAACUGCUUUGUGUGUAAUUCAGCUUUGCACAGUAUCAUGGUUGGUUUGGGUGGUGUCUGCUGCUGAACUUCAUCAGUGAUCACAAAGCUACAAGAAUAGAC